This 4562-nucleotide long non-coding RNA is filed under the name Sus scrofa (pig). Its description in RNAcentral is "lncRNA (ENSSSCG00015077045.1, ENSSSCG00060028434.1)". Lineage: Eukaryota; Metazoa; Chordata; Mammalia; Artiodactyla; Suidae. The record is from RNAcentral.
AGAGGUGACUCCUCUGAGCCUGCACUGGUACUCAAUAAACCUGGCUAUUCCACAUCUCCAAGUGCCACUUGUCUUUCCACUGGCACUAUUUCUGCAACAUUUUCUGGUGCAUUGGCCAGGAAGCUAACAACCAAGCUGGCCCCUUUGCCACUGUUGUUGGGGAACUGGGGAAGGUCAUGGUUGCAGGCAUGGUGACAGGUGGAUAGUGCAUGCCAGCUGUUUUGCCGGAUCCUAACUCUCACUGCCAUGAACGGACUCAGGGAGAGUGGAAACAGGUUCCAGGAUAGGAGGUCAGACUGGUCCCUCAGAACAAUAGUCUGGAAAAACAACCAUGAGCAAGGACACCCAUCAUGGACACAGGAUGACAGAUCCUCUUUGUCAGCAUGGAUUUGUCUCUUCCACACCUCCCACUCUGCCUCCAUUUCAAUGUCUUGUCAUCACACUCAUGAUGAAAUCAUAGAGGUAAGGGGAAAAACAUGUUUUUCCUUGUUUCUCAUUGGGAUGGAGGAAGACAGGUGCAGAUCCCAGGACAGGCGCCUCCCCAGAGGUGCUCCAUGGAACUGAUAUUAAGCAGUAAAAAGAAGGAGAAGCCAGGCUGCUCCCAUCACGGUGACACUGAGGGUGAGCUUUUGGCUCUAUCACUCCCUUAUGAAUACCUACUUUAUGAUUCUAACUGUGCCCUUUUCUGGAACACUAGUCUGGCACAUGCUCUGCAGUUUGUACACAAGCUGAGAGAAAGAGUAGUCGUGAGUGUAUUCUGCGUGUAUUUCAUGAAUGAAAUCUUCCUGAGAGCAGAGCCUACAGACAUGCUCCUGAACCGUCAUCGCCUCAGCUGUUUAUAUACAGGGUUUUGAAUGCCUGUUAGGCAGACCCUGCCAUGUCAUUCUCUCUUACUUGCCUUUUCCUACUCCUCCAGCAUUUAUACUCUGCAUUCAGGAUGGAUUAGAUGGAAUGUAUUCUAUCCAUGAAGCCAAGUGUCUAUAGAGAUGGGGACCUAGUAGUGGGUUGGUUUUCCCCUCUUUAUGCCACAGAUCAGGAACCAGACAUAUUCUAUCUCUCUUUUAUGCUUAGGCCAAAGCAAAUGGCAUUUGACAUGAAAGUUUUGGUUUGCAUGUUCUUAUGUGUGUUUCAUCCUCUAAAAUUAUCUAAGGUGGGCUUAGAAAUGGCAAAAUGUAGGCCAAUAGGAUUCUGAAUGUCCUAUUCCUUGCCUCUCUACAACCUUAAUUUUUUUUCUCCUCACUCUUUUCAAGAUAGAUGAGUGAUUUAUAUAUUUUUUGUCCACUCCAUUAACCACAUAUUCACAAUCAUUCCCUGGAGUUCUUAGAAUUACUGAUACUGCCAAAACCCAGACCCUCCAAAGCCAGGACCCUUAUACUGAGGCACAUAAUCCCUUGAAGACAUUGAUCUCCCUGGCUCUAAGGUCACUCUUAGGAGAAAAUGGCUCAGCCUGGAUGCCCACAGCUGACAAAGAUGUUGAAAUAUGCACCCCUGGAUAUGUGGUUGCCUGGAUAUCUGGACUUCCAAGGGUGCCCUGGCUCACCAUCCUAAGAAAAUAAAUCAAACUAAAUACCAUUAAUUUAAUUCUAUCAGGAAUGUGGGAGUCAGCCCAUUAUCCUGGAAGUCAAGAGAAGAAAGGUAAUAUUUCAGUGGUGGUUAAAGUUUUACUUUUUGUCAACAUUAUCAACUUAUCAAGGAAAAAAAUGAGAACACUACCUGAAAAUCAGGCUGUGUGCAUGCACAUCUCUGGGUGAGUUACAGUAUGGAUCAUUCAGGGGUCCCUCAAACAGUCUGUGUUGAAAGUUUUGCUAGUGGUCCUGCAAACUUUACCAACACGCUUAUGUCCUCGGAAAGGGAGGAGACAUCUAGAAGCUAUGUAUUUUGUUUUCAUGAGAUGUUCAUAUCCAUACUAAUUCCCGUUGGGUGUUUUUUUAAACACCAGUCAUGUAAGCAGGUGCCCUUGCACUGGAGGGCUGCUGACUUUUGGAGUUAGAACUUCAGUCUUAUUUUCUCUCAUCUGUGUGAAGACCUCUGCCAGCUCAAUCUUUUCCCCUACAGCUGUCUCAUUUCAUGUUACCUUACCUCUUUCUUCUCUGCUUCUACAACUCUAAUCAAAUAUGAAAUGGAAUGUUUCAUGGAAAUUAUUUCAUGGGUGUACAUUCUUUGGUUGGGUGGAAGCUACUGAUUAUUUGCUUCCUACCAGGGUUAGGGUAGCAGGGAGAAAACUAUCAAGAGAAGAUGGAAACUCUCUCAUCUCAGGCCCCAAGUGGCAUCUAAUAUAUAAGUUCUUUUUGCAUGUGUGUGUGUUUGUGUGUGUGUGUGUGAGAUUCUUCCCCCUUAAAAUGAUCUAAAGUGUGUGCAGAAAUGGGGAAAUGUGAACCAAUAGAAUUCUGAAUGUUCCUUUUCUCUCUACUUCCUUAAAGUUUUUUCUUCUCACCCUUGUUCAGAUACAGGAGUCAAUUAAACUUUUGUGUCUAAUAUUUUAUUCCAAUAUCUAUGAUCAGUCCUUGGAGUUCUUAGAAUUAGCGAGAUUUCUGAACCCCAGCCCCUCCUGCUGUCAAGACCCUUUCACUGAGGCACACAAUCCCUUUGAGACACUGACCCCUCUGGCCUGAAACCAAACUUAGGAGACCAUGGCUCAACCUGGAUGCCCACUGCUGACAAAGACAUUGUUGAAAUGUGCUCCUCUGGUCCCUCUGUAAUCUAGUCCCUCCAAGCUUUUUUCAGGUGGCCAAUACCAGUCUUCUUCCAUGUAGCCAGCCCCAGAUCUCUCUUGAGUCUGAUCUCUAAGGCCAGAGUUUUAGUUCCUGACACCUGCUGGCACCUGCAUACAGUUGCCAUAGUACUAACAGUUUGUGGAGUAUUCAGUUUUAACUGCUUCACACAGAUGGUUUAGAGUUGCCCCUCCUAGACAGUUUGGGGGGUGGGGGGAUGUACUUGGGUUAUGGGAUGGAAAUCCUGUGAAAUUGGAUUGUUAUGAUCAUUAUACAACUAAAGAUAUGAUAAAUUCAUUUGAGUAAUAAAAAAAUAAAGUAUAGAAUCUCAAAAAAAGAAAAAUAGAGUUCCUCCUCCUCCACUGCUGAUCUCCCUGCUGGUGGGGGAACUUCCCAGGGUGCAGAAGCUUUUCCUCCUUCCAGCUCCCUCCUAGGGUCCAGUCUCAUUUUUUUAAUCUUCUAUCUUUUUAUUCUUUUUUCUUUUGUCCUAUACAGUUUCAUGAAGUGUUUCUUGCUCUAGCAUAAUCCUGGAGUCUUUUUUUAUCAGAUUUUCUGUGCAAAUAGUUCCAUGUUUAGAUGCAUUCUCAGUGUAUAUGUGGGAGUAGGUAAGUCUCAUCCUACUACUCUGCCAUCCUCCUGAAUCCCCCUAAAAUAUUUUUUAAUUUAAAAAUGACCUUAAAAAUUGGAGUUUUGUUUCUGAAUGCAGAAGGUAACCAAUAUUAAAUAACUCUAAUGUAUUUUCCUCAUGCUUUUCAAUCCUAAUUUUCCACCUUGAAAUGGCAAUAAGCACAAUAUUUAUCAAAUAUUGUGCUUAUAUAUAAACAGAGUAUUCUUUCUAGAACCUCUGUAUUUCUACUCAAUUUAUUGUGUUUUUUCUUCCAAUAAUGAACUUUUGAGACUGUUUCAGUAUAUUAUAUUUUUCCAUAUCCUCUGUCAUGUUCUCCCCUCCCAAGAAAAGUUACUUCUCUUUGAGAAAAUCCCUUGGAAAUAUGAGAAUCAACAUCUAUACUUUCUGAAAAGUAUAUUCAGGUUAUAAUUGGGUUACACUGAAUCGGUCAUAAACUUUGGUUGAAAAUAAGUUCAUUAUAAUAUUUUACUGCUGAUAAAAACAGUAUUUCUCUAUUUAACCUGGCAUUUUAUUUCCUCUUAGUGCGUCAUCAUAUUUUGUUUCAUUUUUUCUAUGUUUUAGAAUCCAUUGAUUUGUCAUUAUUUUCAUUAUUACCUUACUUUCCAAAUGUUCCAAGUUGAUUUUCCUCCUCUCUUUUAUAUUUUUUGAGGAAGGACCUCAGAUUAUGGAUUUCAGAACUUCUCCUCUAAUAUAAUCACAGACUGCAAUAAGUUUCCCUCUUUGCAUUUUUUUAGAAUCUGCUUUUGAGAAAUUAUGACAUACUGUAAACUCAUAUUCAUUACUUUUUAUCUAUUUUUUAAAAUUUCCAUUGAGCAUUUCUGUUUUUCACUUUUGACUUUUAUAAGUGGGUUGAAUAAUUUCCAAUUGUUUGGAUAUUUUCUCGUUAUCUUUUUUAUUGUUUUAAACUGUUCCCAGGAGUUCCUGUUGUGGCUCAGGGGGUUAUGAACCCAACUAUUAUCCACGAGGAUGCAGGUUUGAUCUCUGGCCUCACUCAGUGGGUUGGGGAUCUGGCGCUGUCAUGAGCUGUGGUGUAUGUCACAGACGUGACUCGGAUCUGGCAUUGCUGUGGCUGUGGCUGUUUUGUAGGCUGGCAGCUGCAGCUCCAAUUUCAACUCCUAGUCUGGGAACUUCAAUACGCUGCAGGUGUGGCCCUAUAAAGAAAAAAGAAAAAACCGUCAAAACAAAACAAAAACCACCCCCAAACAAAAAAAACAAAAAAAAAA